UCAAGGAAGGUGCAUAUUUAUUAAUCAACCCUUCAUCAUUUCUCUUGUAUAUCUUGCAUAUCAAUAUUAUGCUGUUGUAUCAAACUCCUGAACAGAUCUUUUACCUGGAUGUUGCUGGGAAUAACAAAGCCAAAACAGCUUUUGGGUUUUUCAUGGAUGGAGUAGGAAAAAAAUGGAUGGCCAUCAAGAGUACGAGCAGACCAAGGGGUUGAGAAUAUAGACAUUGCUCUGUUCAUGUUUACUGUGCGAGGAACUGGCCGUGGUAGCUUUAUUGCUGGCAAAAGCGUGCAUAACCAGAGAGUGGAACGGCUAUGGAGAGAUGUUUGGACUGCUGUAACAUCAAGUUACUACAAUGUUCUCCACAGCAGGAAGAGGAGGGAUUAAUUGACCUGUCUAAUGCUGUUAACCUAUUCUGUGUGAGCUAUGUUUUCAUUCCCAGAAUACACACAGAUUUGCAUUUCAUAGAGAUGUGGAACUGUCAUCCCUUGCGAACGGAGGGAAAUUUGUCACCGAAUCAGCUUUGGAAUAUUGGGAUGUUGCAAGCACCUGUGUCAGAGCCUGAUUUUGCAGAGGUAUGCAUUACUUAAGGUAGAUAAAACAUACUGCCUUAUGGUACUUUGUAAGGUGAUUGUUCUUGUAAUCAAUGCCUGUCACUCCCUCCCACCCAGAUUUUACAAUUAGAGGAAUUAUUAUUCCAGAAUCCACAGAGUGUUGACUCUGAACAUGGAGUCAUUGUCCCAGAGAUACCUCGCCCCUUGUCACCUGAAGAUUUUGCUACUUUACAGAAUCAAGUGAACCCCAGCAUUGAGUCCACUUGUUUUGGCUAUGACAUCUACGUACAAGCAUGUCAAUUAACUUUAAAUUUAAUGUUAUAAAUAUAUAAAGCCUAGGCGUGUUCGUUCAUACUUUCUAGCGAUUUGAACUCUCUGUAGUGGACUGAGCUCUUUGUAGUGGAAUGAGUUUUCUGUAGCGGACAG
This is a long non-coding RNA of Carassius auratus (goldfish), 977 nucleotides long. RefSeq lists it as uncharacterized. The record is from RefSeq and is a predicted model, not a curated record. The transcript is spliced from 3 exons. Lineage: Eukaryota; Metazoa; Chordata; Actinopteri; Cypriniformes; Cyprinidae.